UACGUAGGGAGCAAGCGUUGUCCGGAUUUACUGGGUGUAAAGGGUGCGUAGGCGGCACAGCAAGUCAGAUGUGAAAUGCAUGGGCUUAACCCAUGAGCUGCAUUUGAAACCGUUGAGCUUGAGUGAAGUAGAGGCAGGGGAAUUCCCUGUGUAGCGGUGAAAUGCGUAGAGAUAGGGAGGAACACCGGUGGCGAAGGCGGCCUGCUGGGCUUUAACUGACGCUGAGGCACGAAAGCGUGGGUAGCAAACA
This 250-nucleotide ribosomal RNA is filed under the name uncultured prokaryote. RNAcentral describes it as "partial 16S ribosomal RNA". It matches the Rfam family "Bacterial small subunit ribosomal RNA", at positions 524 to 774 of the family's 1533-position model. The record is from RNAcentral.